Molecule: long non-coding RNA, 2234 nt
Organism: Talpa occidentalis (Iberian mole)
Lineage: Eukaryota; Metazoa; Chordata; Mammalia; Eulipotyphla; Talpidae
Exons: 3
Source: RefSeq, a predicted model, not a curated record
CGGCCGCGCCCCACAGGCUGCUUUCAGAGCCGCCCCGCCCCGCCAGGGGCUCUCCUGUCCUUUCAGUUUCUUUCUCUCCACGCCAGCGGGUCUUCUGCUUGCUGGGCAUGACAGGCCAGCGCUCGAAUUUCUCUGGUGGUGCAUUUUGUGUUGGAUUAGUUCUUUUCCGCAAUGGGUAACUUGCUCUUAGCGAAAGUGGCAAUUCGGUGUAAAUACAACCCGUGCAGUUAGCGGUGGCUCUGGAUUGUGCCGCACACCGGGCACUUAGGUGAGUGAGUUAAACCUCUGGUAACCAUUUAUUAAAAACAGUGUUAUGUCGGAUGCAGUACGAUACUGGGGUCUGAGUAGGUUUUGCCUCAUACACUUCUCUGUCGGACGUUCUUUUAAAUUUAUUUCUACACCGUUAAUUUUUCAACAAUACUUGCUUCCUCCCCAUCUCCUCAGGUGGAGUCCCCUCAGUCUCGUGCACCAUCACCACUGUGCCUGUGCUCCUCCCUCCCUUGCUGUGAUCCCUGUUCUUCCUCCCCUGCAGUAACAGGUUCUCCUGCAGUCCAUAGGCCCUGAACUUACCUUGACUCCACAUGCCAAGUGACCUGUGUUGGAAAAAGGCUUCUCUGGACAUUUUGGAUUUAUGUGUUUAUUAAUGCAAGCACUGGGUACAGUCAGAAGCGUGGGAGGAUGAGAGAAUUCACCAGAGCCACAGCAGGGAGCAGAACUGACAGACUGACGAAAAACACUGCUGAGGGGAGUAGCAGGCACGGCAGGAGAGAUCUGUGUGCCAUGUGGGACCCUCACCUGUGACCGAACCGGCGCUGCAAGCAGCCUCACAGUCCAGCGCUCAACCACUGCGGCACCGGGAAGGCCCCUGAUUUUUGCUCUUUUGUAUGUAAUCUUUCCUCCCUUUCUGGGAUAGCCAGCAGAGUACCAACUUAAGAUCUAUGUCCAUUCCUGCUUCCUCCCUUGAACUCUUGACCUCAUAAGUAUCCUGGAGAUUAUUUUUAGGAUCCAAAUAAUUCAAGAUAAUCUCCCUACCUCAAAUUCACAUCAGAAAAGCCGCCUUUGUCAUAUAAGGUAAUAUUAAACCUAGGAAUUUAAAUGUGAAAAUUUUGGGUACCAUAUUCAGCCUACCAGUUUUGGGCUACUCUAUCAGCUGAAGUGUUGUCCCCCGCUGUCCCCUGCCACCCCCACCCCCCAAAGAGAUACUGAAAUCUAACAACCCAGUGCUUUAGAAUGUGGCCUUACUUGGAAAAAGGGUCUUUGCACAUUAUUUAAAUGAGAUCUUUAGGGUGACAUCCUAAUACAAUAUGACAAUUAUCCUUGAAAGAAAAGAAACACACAGAAAGAAAAUUGAGAUAUACUGUCACAAGCCAAAAGCUGAAAUACAAGGAUACUCUCAAAAGCCUUAGGAGGAACAGGGCUCUGCCAACACCUUGACUUCAGGUGUCCAGCUCCAGAGCAAUGAAAGAAUAAAUCCUAUUGUUUUAAAGCAUUUAGCUGGUGGCACUAUGUUUUGGCUGCCCUGAGACUAAUACAACUAUUAAAAUUUGUAAGAACAGUGUUACUUCCUUUAAAUUUUAAUAAAACUUCAGGUUUGCUUUUUCUACUCCAGACAUUCCUUCCUGAUAAUAUUAAUUUCUGGCCCUGGCCAAAUAAUGCUUUUAAUACUGGCCAUUACUCCAAAUGCAUAGUUGGAGCACCUCUGUUUUUCCUUCUCUACCCUAUUUAGCCUCUUUGAGACCCAGAAAGGUCUAUUAUUUUCUUCUAUUCUAAAAAAUUGUUUUUUUCCAAUAUUUUAAGAUUCAAACUCAUCUAAAUAUAAGUUUGCCAGAUAAACUGACUUAACUUGAUGUCUGAGGUACAGCAGGGUUCCAAAGGUGGCUGACGCCACGAAUGGCCCAGGAAUGAUUCACUCCCUCAGCUGUGCUGUCCUGAGUAUUACCUAUCAGUCAUUCCUGCCUUCACACAAAUAUUCCACCUAUUGCUGCCUCCUGAAAUCAAAGUAACUUCUCUCCCCAAAGAUAAAAGCAAUCUACAUUCUCUUGCUCAGUUUCUGGAAUGUUUGUGCUUAGUUUGGUCUACAAGUAUGAACUAAAAAGGGGAAUGGGGCUACCUUUAAACCGAGCAGGUCAACCCUAAGAACUGUGGGGAAAAUCUGUUUUCUGGGAAAAACAUGCGAUGAUGGUGGUGUAUCUCAACUGUGACUGCCUUGUUAAGAGUCACCUGGGGAGCUUUAU